This 253-nucleotide ribosomal RNA is filed under the name uncultured bacterium. RNAcentral's name for it is "partial 16S ribosomal RNA". It matches the Rfam family "Bacterial small subunit ribosomal RNA", at positions 524 to 776 of the family's 1533-position model. The record is from RNAcentral.
UACGAAGGUCCCAAGCGUUAUCCGGAUUUAUUGGGUUUAAAGGGUGCGUAGGCGGGCUAUUAAGUCAGUGGUGAAAGCUCUCAGCUUAACUGGGAAACUGCCAUUGAUACUGAUAGUCUUGAGUAUGAUUGAAGUGGGCGGAAUGUGUCAUGUAGCGGUGAAAUGCUUAGAUAUGACACAGAACACCGAUUGCGAAGGCAGCUCACUAAGCCAUAACUGACGCUGAUGCACGAAAGCGUGGGGAGCAAACAGG